GACGAACGCUGGCGGCGUGCUUAACACAUGCAAGUCGAACGGAAAGGCCCUGCUUUUGUGGGGUGCUCGAGUGGCAAACGGGUGAGUAACACGUGAGUAACCUGCCCUUGACUUUGGUAUAACUUCAGGAAACUGGGGCUAAUACCGGAUAGGAGCUCCUGCUGCAUGGUGGGGGUUGGAAAGUUUCGGCGGUUGGGGAUGGACUCGCGGCUUAUCAGCUUGUUGGUGGGGUAGUGGCUUACCAAGGCUUUGACGGGUAGCCGGCCUGAGAGGGUGACCGGCCACAUUGGGACUGAGAUACGGCCCAGACUCCUACGGGAGGCAGCAGUGGGGAAUAUUGCACAAUGGGCGGAAGCCUGAUGCAGCAACGCCGCGUGCGGGAUGACGGCCUUCGGGUUGUAAACCGCUUUCGCCUGUGACGAAGCGUGAGUGACGGUAAUGGGUAAAGAAGCACCGGCUAACUACGUG
RNAcentral lists this ribosomal RNA (468 nucleotides) under uncultured bacterium. Its description in RNAcentral is "partial 16S ribosomal RNA". It matches the Rfam family "Bacterial small subunit ribosomal RNA", at positions 28 to 507 of the family's 1533-position model. The record is from RNAcentral.